This 496-nucleotide ribosomal RNA is filed under the name uncultured bacterium. RNAcentral describes it as "partial 16S ribosomal RNA". It matches the Rfam family "Bacterial small subunit ribosomal RNA", at positions 29 to 507 of the family's 1533-position model. The record is from RNAcentral.
ACGCACGCUGGCGGCGUGCCUCAUCCAUGCAAGUAGAACGCUGAAGAGAGGAGCUUGCUCUUCUUGGAUGAGUUGCGAACGGGUGAGUAACGCGUAGGUAACCUGCCUUGUAGCGGGGGAUAACUAUUGGAAACGAUAGCUAAUACCGCAUAACAAUGGAUGACACAUGUCAUUUAUUUGAAAGGGGCAAUUGCUCCACUACAAGAUGGACCUGCGUUGUAUUAGCUAGUAGGUGAGGUAAUGGCUCACCUAGGCGACGAUACAUAGCCGACCUGAGAGGGUGAUCGGCCACACUGGGACUGAGACACGGCCCAGACUCCUACGGGAGGCAGCAGUAGGGAAUCUUCGGCAAUGGGGGCAACCCUGACCGAGCAACGCCGCGUGAGUGAAGAAGGUUUUCGGAUCGUAAAGCUCUGUUGUAAGUCAAGAACGGGUGUGAGAGUGGAAAGUUCACACUGUGACGGUAGCUUACCAGAAAGGGACGGCUAACUACGUG